Molecule: non-coding RNA, 438 nt
Organism: Mastomys coucha (southern multimammate mouse)
Lineage: Eukaryota; Metazoa; Chordata; Mammalia; Rodentia; Muridae
Source: the annotation of a RefSeq genome assembly
AUGCAUCAGACCAGCAUGGGCAUCAAGAUGGAAUCACAGUCUCAGGUCUUCAUAUUUGUACUGCUCUGGUUGUCUGGUGCUGAUGGGGAUAUUGUGAUGACCCAGUCUCCCAAAUCCAUGUCUACAACAGUAGGAGAGAGGGUCACUAUGACCUGCAAAGCCAGUCAGAAUGUGGGUACUGAAGUGUCCUGGUAUCAACAGAAACCAGGGCAGUCUCCUAAACUGCUGAUCUACUGGGUAUCCAACCGGCACACUGGGGUCCCUGAUCGCUUCACAGGCAGUGGAUCUGGGACAGAUUUCACUCUCACCAUCAGCAAUGUGCAAGCUGAAGACCUGGCAGAUUAUUACUGUCAGCAGGAUUAUAGCUAUCCUCCCACAGUGGUACAGGCUCUUACACAAACCUCCUUGAGAGUCUUAAGAGCUGCCUGCACCAUGUAG